This 890-nucleotide long non-coding RNA is filed under the name Homo sapiens (human). Its description in RNAcentral is "HSALNT0356908". The record is from RNAcentral. Lineage: Eukaryota; Metazoa; Chordata; Mammalia; Primates; Hominidae.
GCAGUUUUCAUUAUUGUAGCAUUCUAUUACAUCAUAAUGUCUGUUAGGGUAAUUUCCCAACACAAAAAAUCUUACAUGUCAAUGGACUAGUAUUUUCUGCUGCCAGAACACUUGGAAGAAUGGUCCAAUGACCUAGGAAACUAUUUGGAGUUUGAGGAUUUUGUGUCAUUUCCCAAAUGUUGUUACGUAUGAAUCUGUUUCUUUUGCGUGCCCUGGAUUUUUAAGAGGGAAGAAUAUAUGUUGUACACAAUAUACUGGCAGGAUACAGACAUGCUGGUGGCUUCUUACUGAUGAGACAGUUCAUCAGAGCAUCUGCAGGAGAGUGUAACUAACCAGGAAGCUCUGCUUCUGGACUCCUUCUACUGGACUCAGCUUCACAAAAGCCUAAAAGGUCAAAUCAACCUUUACAGGGGAUGGAAGGACGAGUUCUUGCCCGACACUCUGAGACCCUGAAUGGAUCCUUCUGUGGCUGAUUCAACUCAAAUCUGAGGCUCUGGAUUCCCAGCUCUCUCUGCUUGACUGACAUCCCUCCUAGAACCUGUAUCUGCAGCGUUUGUCCAAUCCAGGAAAUUAUGUCUAGAAAACAGCACCUUCCAGCCUGCCUUCUUCACCUGGUGGAAUUAACUGAUCUCUCUUAGGUGUGAUCCCAAGAUAAGAGAGAUGGAGAAGAGAUGUUGUGCAAGCCAGUCUUUUUGCUACUGAUCGAAUCAUUCUGUGCACAGUUAUUUCUUCUACAUGAGAGCUAACAUCUUCAAUUCCUUGAGCUAGGCAAAACUAGAGAGCUGGUUAAAAGCACUUUGAGUGGUCAACAAAACACAAACAAAAACAAAAACAAAAGCACAACCACAAAAGAAUUCUGUAUGAAACAUUAUAAUUUACCCUAAAUUACC